UGAAUACGAGACGCUAAGGCGUCGAAGUAGUGUAUGUCAUACUUCCAAGAAAAGCUUGCACUGUCAUAGAUAAAAAACGCCUGUACCAUAACCGACACAGGUGGGUAGGUAGAGUAUACUAAGGGGCGCGAGAUAACUCUCUCUAAGGAACUCGGCAAAAUAACUCCGUAACUUCGGGAGAAGGAGUGCCUUAUUCGUAAGGUUGCAAUAACAAGAUCCAAGCAACUGUUUAUCAAAAACACAGGUCUCCGCUAAGUCGUAAGACGAUGUAUGGGGGCUGACGCCUGCCCAGUGCCAGAAGGUUAAAGAAGUUGGUUAGCAAUUGCGAAGCUGAUAACUGAAGCCCUGGUGAACGGCGGCCGUAACUAUAACGGUCCUAAGGUAGCGAAAUUCCUUGUCGGGUAAGUUCCGACCCGCACGAAAGGCGUAAUGAUUUGGAUACUGUCUCGGAGAGGGGCUCGGUGAAAUAGACUUGUCUGUGAAGAUGCGGACUACCUGCACCAGGACAGAAAGACCCUAUGAAGCUUUACUGUAACUUGAAAUUGAAAUUGGACUUUAUUCGCGCAGUAUAGGUGGGAGGCGUUGAUUAUAAUCUUGUGGGAUUAUUGGAGCCAUCAGUGAGAUACCACUCUUGUAAUGUUAGAUUUCUAACUUUGAAUCAUUAUCUGGUCAAAGAACAGUUUCAGGCGGGCAGUUUGACUGGGGCGGUCGCCUCCUAAACGGUAACGGAGGCGUACAAAGGUUUCCUCUGAACGGUUAGAAAUCGUAUCUAGAGUGUAAAGGCAUAAGGAAGCUUGACUGUGAGACCUACAAGUCGAGCAGGGACGAAAGUCGGUCUUAGUGAUCUGACGGUACUGAGUGGAAAGGCCGUCACUCAACGGAUAAAUGUUACUCUAGGAUAACAGGCUGAUCUCCCCCAAGAGUUCACAUCGACGGGGAGGUUUGGCACCUCGAUGUCGGCUCAUCGCAUCCUGGGGCGGUAGUACGUCCCAAGGGUUGGGCUGUUCGCCCAUGAAAGCGGUACGCGAGCUGGGUUCAGAACGUCGUGAGACAGUUCGGUCCAUAUCCGGUGUAGGCGUUAGAAUAUUGAGAGGAGCCUUCUUUAGUACGAGAGGACCGAGAAGGACAUACCUCUGGUGUACCAGUUAUCGUGCCAACGGUAAACGCUGGGUAGCUAUGUAUGGAGUGGAUAACCGCUGAAAGCAUCUAAGUGGGAAGCCCACCUCAAGAUAAGUAUUCUC
This 1241-nucleotide ribosomal RNA is filed under the name metagenome. RNAcentral's name for it is "bacterial LSU rRNA". It matches the Rfam family "Bacterial large subunit ribosomal RNA", at positions 1564 to 2815 of the family's 2925-position model. The record is from RNAcentral.